This is a long non-coding RNA of Teleopsis dalmanni, 591 nucleotides long. RefSeq lists it as uncharacterized. The record is from RefSeq and is a predicted model, not a curated record. The transcript is spliced from 6 exons. NCBI's taxonomy places the organism in Eukaryota, Metazoa, Arthropoda, Insecta, Diptera, Diopsidae.
AAAAGAUUAUAAAAAUUUAUACAUCAGCAUUGUAUGAGUAAGUCGGCGGUUCACUUCUUCACGGACUUAUCUUUUUCACGCAGCUAGAUACGCAUAUUAUUUGUCUAAUUUGGUGCUCUCAUUUGAUUGAAAAAGUUGUAUACUAUAUAACGUUAAGACAUUAAGAUGUCCAUCAUUUGAUCCAAAUACUUAGAGAUAUUAAGGAAAGAGCAAAAAUUAUUUGCUCAUUCUCACCUACCAGACGUGACAAAAAUUGAUUAGAUAUACCAAUGAACUUGUCGAAAUGUCCAAAAUUCCAUUUUGGUACACCACCUGAUACUAAAAGUACUAUAUUGUUCAACUGAAAACGUAAACCUAUUACUGGUCCCAUGGAGGUACACUGGAAACUGUUCUGAAAUGGUUCGCGUUCUUUAAAUCGUUGAAGAAUCGGAAGAGUAUCAUCUGUUUUCCAAGCCAGGUAUCCCAUGUGCGAUACAAGGUGGAGUUAUUGGACCACUAACCAGAUGUGAUGAUGUAUUAGUAUUAAGUAUUUAUUUAGAUAUAAGAUAGUUUUAGGAUGAAAAAAAUUUGAAUAAAAAAUUUUAUGUGAAA